Molecule: non-coding RNA, 23 nt
Filed under: Arabidopsis thaliana (thale cress)
Lineage: Eukaryota; Viridiplantae; Streptophyta; Magnoliopsida; Brassicales; Brassicaceae
Source: RNAcentral
CAUCUAGAAGUGUGAUGGCCGUA